RNAcentral lists this ribosomal RNA (429 nucleotides) under Acidobacteriota bacterium. RNAcentral's name for it is "Acidobacteria bacterium partial 16S ribosomal RNA". It matches the Rfam family "Bacterial small subunit ribosomal RNA", at positions 355 to 776 of the family's 1533-position model. The record is from RNAcentral. Lineage: Bacteria; Pseudomonadati; Acidobacteriota.
UGGGGAAUUUUGGACAAUGGGGGAAACCCUGAUCCAGCCAUCCCGCGUGUGCGAUGAAGGCCUUCGGGUUGUAAAGCACUUUUGGCAGGAAAGAAACGUCAUGGGUUAAUACCCCGUGAAACUGACGGUACCUGCAGAAUAAGCACCGGCUAACUACGUGCCAGCAGCCGCGGUAAUACGUAGGGUGCAAGCGUUAAUCGGAAUUACUGGGCGUAAAGCGUGCUCAGGCGGUUCGGAAAGAAAGAUGUGAAAUCCCAGAGCUCAACUUUGGAACUGCAUUUUUAACUACCAGGCUAGAGUGUGUCAGAGGGAGGUGGAAUUCCGCGUGUAGCAGUGAAAUGCGUAGAUAUGCGGAGGAACACCGAUGGCGAAGGCAGCCUCCUGGGAUAACACUGACGCUCAUGCACGAAAGCGUGGGGAGCAAACAGG